Long non-coding RNA from Impatiens glandulifera, 1118 nucleotides. RefSeq lists it as uncharacterized. The record is from RefSeq and is a predicted model, not a curated record. The transcript has 5 exons. Lineage: Eukaryota; Viridiplantae; Streptophyta; Magnoliopsida; Ericales; Balsaminaceae.
UUCUACCUCCGACUCUUCAUUUUCUAACCUAACCAGUUCAUCUCAGACUCUCUUCUUUCCCGUUCUCAUUCUCCCUCUCCAAAUUCAAUUCAAUUCAAAUGGAAGAUCAGCUCACCGAUGACCAGAUCUACGAAUUCAAGGAAACCUUCAGUCUCUUCGAUAAAGAUAAAGAUGUCGAACAUCGUCUAUGGAAGGUACACAGUCUGAUCCGCCGGUGGAGUGAAGUUCUCAAGCCGAAGAUACAGGUCUUGAAGAGCCUCUGUGGCUGGUGCUGAAUCUUAUCCUGAAUUCCCAAAAGAGCUUGAUUGUAUUUACUACUUGAGGACUGGUUUAUGUGGAUAUGGUGCUUGAUGUCGGUUCAACCAUCCCCGGGAUCGAAGUCUGUAUUAUAUGAGAACGGGCAUGUGCAAAUUUGGGGCUUCAUGUAAGUAUCACCAUCCACGACAGGGAGGUGGAACUAUUGGCUCUGUGACAUUCAACAUAUCUGGUCACCCUUUGAGAUCGGGUGAAAUAGAGUGUUCUUACUAUGACCAUUUGUUCACUUACUUUCCAUUUGGAAACUCUUAAAAUUUUUGGAUCUGAAUUUGGAUCCACAUGAGAAACUAACUACAUGUAGUUUGCAUGAGUUUGCAUGUUAUUGAUAAUUGUCUUCUUGAUGAUGUCCAUGGAGAAAACAAAAACUGACUUCAAAUAUUGUUUGUUUUUAUUGGAUUUUUUAAGUAAUGCAUUCUUGUGUUGCAUUUUUUUGUGGUUUACAAGAUCUUUUAGCCUUCAUUAGUGCCUCAAGUGAGAUUACUUACCUCUCUUAGAAGUUAUUUUUAGUGAUUCAACUCAGAAUUCUUGAAAGAUUUUUGAUUUGAUUGUAGAGAUAAGUAGUCCACUUUAGUACCAUAGCACAAGUAAUGAAUUCUCAAAACUUGAUAUAAAUAUAUUAAUUCAUUGAAUUGGGUUAGUUUUCUAAUAGCUUCUCCAUAUGUUGAUUGGUUACCAGAUCAAGAACUUGCAUCAAGCUGUUCUCUACCAAAACCUAAACAUAAUAACAUCUGCACAUGUAAUCCUAAGCUUGUCAAUAUUUCAUAAGAAAAAAAAAUUAUUUACAAAAACUAUCUUUGUAUGAU